UGCCUGGUAGUGGGGGAUAACUCGGGGAAACUCGAGCUAAUACCGCAUACGUCCUACGGGAGAAAGCGGGGGAUCUUCGGACCUCGCGCUAUCAGAUGAGCCUAGGUCGGAUUAGCUAGUUGGUGGGGUAAUGGCUCACCAAGGCGACGAUCCGUAACUGGUCUGAGAGGAUGAUCAGUCACACUGGAACUGAGACACGGUCCAGACUCCUACGGGAGGCAGCAGUGGGGAAUAUUGGACAAUGGGCGAAAGCCUGAUCCAGCCAUGCCGCGUGUGUGAAGAAGGUCUUCGGAUUGUAAAGCACUUUAAGUUGGGAGGAAGGGCAGUAAGUUAAUACCUUGCUGUUUUGACGUUACCGACAGAAUAAGCACCGGCUAACUCUGUGCCAGCAGCCGCGGUAAUACAGAGGGUGCAAGCGUUAAUCGGAAUUACUGGGCGUAAAGCGCGCGUAGGUGGUUCGUUAAGUUGGAUGUGAAAUCCCCGGGCUCAACCUGGGAACUGCAUUCAAAACUGACGAGCUAGAGUAUGGUAGAGGGUGGUGGAAUUUCCUGUGUAGCGGUGAAAUGCGUAGAUAUAGGAAGGAACACCAGUGGCGAAGGCGACCACCUGGACUGAUACUGACACUGAGGU
RNAcentral lists this ribosomal RNA (630 nucleotides) under uncultured Pseudomonas sp. RNAcentral describes it as "bacterial SSU rRNA". It matches the Rfam family "Bacterial small subunit ribosomal RNA", at positions 127 to 752 of the family's 1533-position model. Lineage: Bacteria; Pseudomonadati; Pseudomonadota; Gammaproteobacteria; Pseudomonadales; Pseudomonadaceae. The record is from RNAcentral.